UGACAAGACUGCCAUCGUAAGAUGUGAGGAAGGUGGGGAUGACGUCAAAUCAGCACGGCCCUUACGUCCGGGGCUACACACGUGUUACAAUGGGGGGUACAGAGGGCCGCUACCACGCGAGUGGAUGCCAAUCCCCAAAACCUCUCUCAGUUCGGACUGGAGUCUGCAACCCGACUCCACGAAGCUGGAUUCGCUAGUAAUCGCGCAUCAGCCACGGCGCGGUGAAUACGUUCCCGGGCCUUGUACACACCGCCCGUCAAGCCAUGGGAGCCGGGGGUACCUGAAGUGCGUAACCGCGAGGAGCGCCCUAGGGUAAAACUGGUGACUGGGGCUAAGUCGUAACAAGGUAGCCGUACCGGAAGGUGCGGCUGGAACACC
RNAcentral lists this ribosomal RNA (378 nucleotides) under Phocaeicola vulgatus str. 3775 SL(B) 10 (iv). RNAcentral's name for it is "bacterial SSU rRNA". It matches the Rfam family "Bacterial small subunit ribosomal RNA", at positions 1141 to 1527 of the family's 1533-position model. Lineage: Bacteria; Pseudomonadati; Bacteroidota; Bacteroidia; Bacteroidales; Bacteroidaceae. The record is from RNAcentral.